This 468-nucleotide ribosomal RNA is filed under the name uncultured bacterium. Its description in RNAcentral is "partial 16S ribosomal RNA". It matches the Rfam family "Bacterial small subunit ribosomal RNA", at positions 28 to 507 of the family's 1533-position model. The record is from RNAcentral.
GACGAACGCUGGCGGCGUGCUUAACACAUGCAAGUCGAACGGAAAGGCCCUGCUUUUGUGGGGUGCUCGAGUGGCGAACGGGUGAGUAACACGUGAGUAACCUGCCCUUGACUUUGGGAUAACUUCAGGAAACUGGGGCUAAUACCGGAUAGGAGCUCCUGCUGCAUGGUGGGGGUUGGAAAGUUUCGGCGGUUGGGGAUGGACUCGCGGCUUAUCAGCUUGUUGGUGGGGUAGUGGCUUACCAAGGCUUUGACGGGUAGCCGGCCUGAGAGGGUGACCGGCCACAUUGGGACUGCGAUACGGCCCAGAAGCCUACGGGAGGCAGCAGUGGGGAAUAUGGCACAAUGGGCGGAAGCCUGAUGCAGCAACGCCGCGUGCGGGAUGACGGCCUUCGGGUUGUAAACCGCUUUCGCCUGUGACGAAGCGUGAGUGACGGUAAUGGGUAAAGAAGCACCGGCUAACUACGUG